UAGGGAAUCUUCCACAAUGGGCGCAGCCUGAUGGAGCAACACCGCGUGAGUGAAGAAGGGUUUCGGCUCGUAAAGCUCUGUUGUUGAAGAAGAACGUGCGUGAGAGUAACUGUUCACGCAGUGACGGUAUUCAACCAGAAAGUCACGGCUAACUACGUGACCAC
This 164-nucleotide ribosomal RNA is filed under the name uncultured bacterium. Its description in RNAcentral is "partial 16S rRNA". It matches the Rfam family "Bacterial small subunit ribosomal RNA", at positions 355 to 512 of the family's 1533-position model. The record is from RNAcentral.